Molecule: ribosomal RNA, 558 nt
Filed under: uncultured bacterium
Lineage: Bacteria
Description: bacterial SSU rRNA
Rfam family: Bacterial small subunit ribosomal RNA
Source: RNAcentral
CCUACGGGAGGCAGCAGUGGGGAAUUUUCCGCAAUGGGCGAAAGCCUGACGGAGCAAUACCGCGUGAGGGAGGAAGGCUCUUGGGUUGUAAACCUCUUUUCUCAGGGAAGAAGCUCUGACGGUACCUGAGGAAUCAGCAUCGGCUAACUCCGUGCCAGCAGCCGCGGUAAUACGGAGGAUGCAAGCGUUAUCCGGAAUGAUUGGGCGUAAAGCGUCCGCAGGUGGCGAUUCAAGUCUGCUGUCAAAGGUCGGGGCUCAACCCUGAACAGGCGGUGGAAACUGAACAGCUAGAGUGCGGUAGGGGUAGAGGGAAUUCCCGGUGUAGCGGUGAAAUGCGUAGAGAUCGGGAAGAACACCAGUGGCGAAAGCGCUCUACUAGGCCUGCACUGACACUCAGGGACGAAAGCUAGGGGAGCGAAUGGGAUUAGAUACCCCAGUAGUCCUAGCCGUAAACGAUGGAUACUAGGCGUGGCUUGUAUCGACCCGAGCCGUGCCGGAGCUAACGCGUUAAGUAUCCCGCCUGGGGAGUACGCGCGCAAGCGUGAAACUCAAAGGAAU